GUCCAAGAUGGCGAGCAUUCAGCCAUUCCAUAAAGGAACGUCCGCCCAAGAUGGAAAUCAGGACCGAGCGUCCAGCCAUUCAAGGAACGAACGUCCUCCCAAGAUGGCACGUCCGUCAAAGAUGGCGAGCGUCCAGCCAUUCAAUAAAUGAACGUCCGCCCAAGUUGGAAAUCAUGACCGAGCGUCCAGCCGAUCAAGGAACGAACGUCCUCCCAAGAUGGCACGUCCGUCUAAGAUGGCGAGCGUCCAGCCAUUCCAUAAAGGAACGUCCGCCCAAUAUGGCAACCAGGACCGAGCGUCCAGCCAUUCAAGAAACGAACGACCUCCCAAGAUGGCACGUCCGUCCAAGAUAGCGAGCGUCCAGCGGUUCAUGAAACGAACGUCCGCCCAAGAUGGCAAUCAGGACCGAGCGUCCGUCCAGUGUGACGGACAGUAGAACCAGAUGGACGCUCACCCAGGUUGACAUCCGUGGCCGACCAUCAAUCCCAACCGACCCGCACUUUGUCGACUACCCGAUAAAACGUUAAUGACACAUUAAAGUCCUUAAUAAAGAUUAAGGUAUUAUUGGGCCGUUUCCAGGCCCCCAAAAGGUAAAAGCUCAUUACAAUCAGUAUAAAUAAAGGUUUCAGGUAUCGCCUUGUGAAUAUUGGGCACUACCGCUCGGUGGAACUUUGGGCACUACCCCAGCCACAGUCACGAGGUUAAUCCGUUAUCACUCACCUUGGAUCAUAUGGAAGCACCCAAGACUAGGACCUCCUGCUAC
Long non-coding RNA from Vigna angularis (adzuki bean), 763 nucleotides. RefSeq lists it as uncharacterized. The record is from RefSeq and is a predicted model, not a curated record. The transcript is spliced from 3 exons. NCBI's taxonomy places the organism in Eukaryota, Viridiplantae, Streptophyta, Magnoliopsida, Fabales, Fabaceae.